Small nuclear RNA from Cavia porcellus (domestic guinea pig), 107 nucleotides. The record is from Ensembl. Lineage: Eukaryota; Metazoa; Chordata; Mammalia; Rodentia; Caviidae.
GUGCUCGCUUCGGUUGCACAUAUACUAAAAUUGGAAUGAUACAGAGAAGAUUAGCAUGGCCCCUGUGCAAGGAUGACAUGCAAAAUUGUGAAGUGUUCCAUAUUUUU